Molecule: ribosomal RNA, 501 nt
Filed under: uncultured bacterium
Lineage: Bacteria
Description: bacterial SSU rRNA
Rfam family: Bacterial small subunit ribosomal RNA
Source: RNAcentral
UGGGGAAUCUUGCACAAUGGGCGCAAGCCUGAUGCAGCAACGCCGCGUGCGGGAAGACGGCCCUAGGGUUGUAAACCGCUUUCAGGAGGGAAGAAAAUGACGGUACCUCCAGAAGAAGGUGCGGCCAACUACGUGCCAGCAGCCGCGGUGACACGUAGGCACCAAGCGUUAUCCGGAUUUAUUGGGCGUAAAGAGCUCGUAGGCGGUUCGGUAAGUCGGGUGUGAAAAUCCAAGGCUCAACCUUGGGACGCCACCCGAUACUGCUGUGACUCGAGUGCAGUAGGGGAGCAGGGAAUUCCUGGUGUAGCGGUGAAAUGCGCAGAUAUCAGGAGGAACACCAGUGGCGAAGGCGCUGCUCUGGGCUGUAACUGACGCUGAGGAGCGAAAAGCAUGGGUAGCAAAACAGGAUUAGAUACCCUGGUAGUCCAUGCCGUAAAACGUUGGGCACUAGGUGUGGGUCUCAACCAAACGAGAUCCGCGCCGUCGCUAACGCAUUAAGUG